Molecule: ribosomal RNA, 543 nt
Filed under: uncultured bacterium
Lineage: Bacteria
Description: partial 16S ribosomal RNA
Rfam family: Bacterial small subunit ribosomal RNA
Source: RNAcentral
UGGGGAAUAUUGGACAAUGGGCGCAAGCCUGAUCCAGCAACGCCGCGUGAGUGAUGAAGGCCUUAGGGUUGUAAAGCUCUUUCGCACGCGACGAUGAUGACGGUAGCGUGAGAAGAAGCCCCGGCUAACUUCGUGCCAGCAGCCGCGGUAAUACGAAGGGGGCUAGCGUUGUUCGGAAUUACUGGGCGUAAAGGGCGCGUAGGCGGCCUGUUUAGUCAGAAGUGAAAGCCCCGGGCUCAACCUGGGAAUAGCUUUUGAUACUGGCAGGCUUGAGUUCCGGAGAGGAUGGUGGAAUUCCCAGUGUAGAGGUGAAAUUCGUAGAUAUUGGGAAGAACACCGGUGGCGAAGGCGGCCAUCUGGACGGACACUGACGCUGAGGCGCGAAAGCGUGGGGAGCAAACAGAUUAGAUACCCUGGUAGUCCACGCGUAAACGNUGAAUGCUNGACGUCGGGGUGCAUNCACUUCGGUGUCGCCGCUAACGCAUUAAGCAUUCCGCCUGGGGAGUACGGCCGCAAGGUUAAAACUUAAAUGAAUUGACGGGG